GUCCACGCCCUAACGAUGUCAACUGGUUGUUGGUCUUAACUGACUCAGUAACGAAGCUAACGCGUGAAGUUGACCGCCUGGGAGUACGGCCGCAAGGUUGAACUCAAGGAAUUGACGGGACCCGCACAAGCGGUGGAUGAUGUGGUUUAAUUCGAUGCAACGCGAAACCUUACCACCUUUGACAUGUACGGAAGGAUCCAGAGAUGGAUUUGUGCUCGAAAGAGAACCGUAACACAGGUGCUGCAUGGCUGUCGU
Molecule: ribosomal RNA, 255 nt
Filed under: uncultured bacterium
Lineage: Bacteria
Description: partial 16S ribosomal RNA
Rfam family: Bacterial small subunit ribosomal RNA
Source: RNAcentral